UCCGUGGUGACGCGAAAUCUGAAGGAAGUCAGCGGUAAAUCUCCGGUCUGAGGAACAUGAACUUCAUAUAAGGAUAGGUAUCAUUUGGGGAGAUUGCAACACAAAUCAAAGUCUUUACAUAAUCUAUAGAUUAUUAAGUUUGUUAUGGUGACAAAUAGAGAAGAAAUGAAAUGU
Molecule: non-coding RNA, 174 nt
Filed under: Bacillus sp. 491mf
Lineage: Bacteria; Bacillati; Bacillota; Bacilli; Caryophanales; Bacillaceae
Source: RNAcentral